UUUAUGAUGAAAUCUUAAGCCUCAUGAAUUUGUAAAUGAUCACAAUGGGAAAAAAGCAAGGCUGCAUUUGAAAAGAUGUGGCUAACACUCAACGAAAUGUGCUUUGCCCUCACAUUUGCUAUCUUGAUCCUUGCCAUAGCUCUCUAUGGUAUUCUGAUGGGAGAGAAGUAGAUCUGAGGUUACAGAGCUCCUGAGUUCACUGGGUCUCUCUUGCAGGUCACUAGGCUAUACACAGUAGCCCCUAUGAGGCAUGUUGCCUGGCCUUCAUCUCCGGCCCAUGAGUGGUCGCAAUCCCAUCUCUGCCUCAGACACUGUUUUCCCCACCAUCCCUGCCCCUCACUUCCAGUGGCUACCUUACCUGUAUUCACCAGUAGAUUAAGCUAAGGUAGGUGCCACAGUCUCAUUUACCAGUUUCCUGUACUAAGCUGGGUACUAGAGGUGAGGGGUCCUGUUGCAGUAGUACACCACUGCUCGUAAUGAAGCCCCUCCUGCUGCCUGUACCUAAAGGUGGAAACUUAAUGGUAAGACUAAACAAAAGAACCAACAAGGCAGCACAGAAGACAUAAACUAAUGGGGAUAUUAAAAUAACAAAUCCUCAGCAAAGCAAGAUAGCACACAGUAUUUCUUGAGGGAAUACAUGCAAGAUACUUCCUCAAGCCUGGAAGGUCUAGAGAUGAGGACAAUGCCUGGGAGACCUGCCGAGUGCGUUUCCUAUCAGUGAACUUCAUUUUAUCUGCAGUCCUGGGAAAAGAACCCAGGGCCCUAAGCAUCCCUGACAAGGGCUCUGCCACUGGGCUUAUAUCCCCUUUCCCCAGUGAAUGUUAAAAUAAGGUCAAGGGCUUUUCUGUAGGCUGCCUCUUCUCAUGAGCUAGCUCACGGCACCUCAGGCAUAUGACUGAUCUCAUUUCUUACAAGAGCGAAGUAUGUAUGGCAGUAGAGUAGAGGUAUGGUACAAUGGAUCUGGUUUGUCUCCGUAGGGAACAAAAAGGCAAAAA
Molecule: long non-coding RNA, 995 nt
Organism: Perognathus longimembris pacificus (Pacific pocket mouse)
Lineage: Eukaryota; Metazoa; Chordata; Mammalia; Rodentia; Heteromyidae
Exons: 2
Source: RefSeq, a predicted model, not a curated record